Molecule: non-coding RNA, 75 nt
Filed under: Pseudomonas sp. LAMO17WK12:I9
Lineage: Bacteria; Pseudomonadati; Pseudomonadota; Gammaproteobacteria; Pseudomonadales; Pseudomonadaceae
Also listed under: 1 other name
Source: RNAcentral
AGGAGCCGUAUGCGGUAGUUCCGCACGUACGGAUCUGCGCGGGGGGUGGCAGGUGACUGCCAUUCCUACCGCGAC